GCGGACGUGGCGAAACUGGUAAACGCGACGGACUUAAAAUCCGUUACCUUUCAAUGGUUUGCGGGUUCAAGUCCCGCCGUCCGCACCA
RNAcentral lists this transfer RNA (88 nucleotides) under Nitratireductor mangrovi. RNAcentral's name for it is "Nitratireductor sp. SY7 tRNA-Leu". It matches the Rfam family "tRNA". From Rfam's summary of the family: Transfer RNA (tRNA) molecules are approximately 80 nucleotides in length. Their secondary structure includes four short double-helical elements and three loops (D, anti-codon, and T loops). Lineage: Bacteria; Pseudomonadati; Pseudomonadota; Alphaproteobacteria; Hyphomicrobiales; Phyllobacteriaceae. The record is from RNAcentral.